CCCUGCACUUGGACCCAGACCCCGUUCCUUCCGCACCGUGACAGAGGGUUAAUUAAGUGAUUGAUGGCUGUUCAUGUCCAUGCAAUUUCAGCUCUGGACCUCAGGAAUACAAGAUGCACAGACGUUACCAUCAGAGCCUCUCUGAAAUCUGAAGUCUCUCUCCCAUGUCACUUUAAUAUAAGCCAUUACAAUAAAACAGAGGAAAUAAAAUGGAGCCACCAUUCCAGUCUUGUAACGAUCAAAAACAAUGGCAUUAUCUACUUCCAUAAUCCUAGUGAAGGACGAGUGAGCUCUUUUCCUAAUCUGGCCAGGGGAGGAAACUUCUCCAUCCUCAUCCAUGAUCUGCAGUCUUCAGACAUCGGCACCUACUUUUGUGAGCUGAACAGUGAAUGCUGGAGGGUGAAGAUCAUGGAAUUGCCAGAAAAAACUGAACAGCUGAACUCUAAUCACAACUCCUGGUUAUACUUUUUUGCUGGAGCUGGAAUUUUCACUCUUCUUUUUGUUAUAUUCAAUCGCAUUGGCUUACAAAACUGUUUACAGUCUUCAACAGAAAAGUGCAUGAGAUCAUCCAAAUCUAGCUCUACGAAAGAAGAAUGCCAUGAAG
Molecule: long non-coding RNA, 604 nt
Organism: Carassius auratus (goldfish)
Lineage: Eukaryota; Metazoa; Chordata; Actinopteri; Cypriniformes; Cyprinidae
Exons: 4
Source: RefSeq, a predicted model, not a curated record